RNAcentral lists this ribosomal RNA (53 nucleotides) under Ehrlichia chaffeensis. Its description in RNAcentral is "partial 23S ribosomal RNA". Lineage: Bacteria; Pseudomonadati; Pseudomonadota; Alphaproteobacteria; Rickettsiales; Anaplasmataceae. The record is from RNAcentral.
GGUCAGAUGAAGGUAUCAAAUCCUGAAUCCAUAGGGGUUUGAAGCGAACCCGG